This 304-nucleotide long non-coding RNA is filed under the name Physcomitrium patens. RNAcentral describes it as "long non-coding RNA (PPAT_LNC009661)". Lineage: Eukaryota; Viridiplantae; Streptophyta; Bryopsida; Funariales; Funariaceae. The record is from RNAcentral.
UUAUAUGAAUUGGAUUUGUUAGUAUCACAAUUGACUAUAUUCUAGCUAUCUGAAAUGAAGUAUCAAACUACAAAAUACUGAGGCUUGCUACUUCCAUCUUAAUUCAACUCAUAAUCCAUUCUACGAUUAUCAAUUCAACAAUACUUCUCUCAAUCACCAUUCUUCAUAAGCAAAUAAUAAAAAAAAUAAAGAGGUAGCACCAAGCUUACCCUAGCUUACAACUCUCAGUCUGGCUCUCAAUCUCUUUUUCUUCAACCUAUUUAUCCUACCAAAAAGAUGAUUUGUUGGCCAACGGAUUCCAAAG